CCUACGGGAGGCAGCAGUGGGGAAUAUUGCACAAUGGGCGCAAGCCUGAUGCAGCAACGCCGCGUGAGGGACGACGGCCUUCGGGUUGUAAACCUCUUUUAGUAGGGAAGAAGCGAAAGUGACGGUACCUGCAGAAAAAGCACCGGCUAACUACGUGCCAGCAGCCGCGGUAAUACGUAGGGUGCAAGCGUUAUCCGGAAUUAUUGGGCGUAAAGAGCUCGUAGGCGGUUUGUCGCGUCUGCUGUGAAAACUGGAGGCUCAACCUCCAGCCUGCAGUGGGUACGGGCAGACUAGAGUGCGGUAGGGGAGAUUGGAAUUCCUGGUGUAGCGGUGGAAUGCGCAGAUAUCAGGAGGAACACCGAUGGCGAAGGCAGAUCUCUGGGCCGUAACUGACGCUGAGGAGCGAAAGCAUGGGGAGCGAACAGGAUUAGAUACCCUGGUAGUCCAUGCCGUAAACGUUGGGAACUAGAUGUAGGGACCAUUCCACGGUUUCUGUGUCGCAGACUACGACAUUAACGUUACCCGUCCGUCGGGAGGUACGGCCGCGAGACGUAAACUUAAAUAGAAGUAGACGCGNGAGACGUGCGACGACGACGACGAGGGAGGAGG
RNAcentral lists this ribosomal RNA (609 nucleotides) under uncultured bacterium. RNAcentral describes it as "bacterial SSU rRNA". The stretch from base 1 to 527 matches the Rfam family "Bacterial small subunit ribosomal RNA", at positions 338 to 873 of the family's 1533-position model. The record is from RNAcentral.